This 253-nucleotide ribosomal RNA is filed under the name uncultured bacterium. RNAcentral's name for it is "partial 16S ribosomal RNA". It matches the Rfam family "Bacterial small subunit ribosomal RNA", at positions 524 to 776 of the family's 1533-position model. The record is from RNAcentral.
UACGUAGGGUGCAAGCGUUAAUCGGAAUUACUGGGCGUAAAGCGUGCGUAGACGGUUUUGUAAGUCGGAUGUGAAAUCCCCGGGCUCAACCUGGGAAUUGCAUUCGAGACUGCAAGGCUUGGGUGCGGAAGAGGGAAGCGGAAUUUCCGGUGUAGCGGUGAAAUGCGUAGAUAUCGGAAGGAACAUCAGUGGCGAAAGCGGCUUCCUGGUCCAGCACCGACGUUCAGGCACGAAAGCGUGGGGAGCAAAACGG